This 457-nucleotide ribosomal RNA is filed under the name uncultured bacterium. Its description in RNAcentral is "bacterial SSU rRNA". It matches the Rfam family "Bacterial small subunit ribosomal RNA", at positions 340 to 785 of the family's 1533-position model. The record is from RNAcentral.
UACGGAAAGCAGCAGUGGGGAAUAUUGCACAAUGGGCGAAAGCCUGAUGCAGCUAUGCCGCGUGUAUGAAGAAGGCCUUAGGGUUGUAAAGUACUUUCAUCGGGGAGGAAAAAACAAAACUAAUAAUUUUAUUUCUUGACGUUACCCGAAAAAGAAGCACCGGCUAACUCCGUGCCAGCAGCCGCGGUAAUACGGAGGGUGCUAGCGUUAAUCAGAAUUACUGGGCGUAAAGAGCACGUAGGUGGUUUUUUUAAAGUCAGAUGUGAAAUCCCUGGGCUUUAACCUGGAACUGCAUUUUGAAACUGAAAUACUAGAGUAUCGUAGAGGGAGGUAGAAUUCUAGGUGUAGCGGUGAAAUGCGUAGAUAUCUGGAGGAAUACCUGUGGCGAAAGCGGCCUCCUAAACGAAUACUGACACUGAGGGUGCGAAAGCGUGGGGAGCAAACAGGGAUUAGAUAC